GUAUCUCUUUAAAUUAAACGUAAUGCUGUGUCCUCGCUCGCCGAGUCUUCAGCACUUGAGUGAGGUUUUUUUUGGACCAGAGAGUAUUGAGAGAUUUUUCACAAAUCUCAUGCUGGGGGCACCAAGGAGCGGGGUUGAUCAGCCACCAUCAGGACACAUAGAAAAAAGUCAGCUGUUUGAACAACCAGGCCCUUCCGGUUGCUGAGCGCAUAGACAGCUGCAUGCAGUGAAAUUCCUGGCCGUCCUUUCAUUCCUGUGACAAAUCCAGGCACAAUUAAACUAUGAAGUCAUGAAAGUUUGUUGAAGACAGGGCUUGAAAAGGAAAUGCAUUAUUAAUAAUUCAUUUAUCGUUUUAUUGUUCUUAUAUUAAUUCUCUAAAACUUUGCGUUUACCCAAUUUUAUUUGUAUGAAUGCGAGGUUAUAUAUGAAGUGACAGUGCCACACCAAGGAGAAAUGAAGGAAAUAGCUGCGCACUCCAGGAGGUCGAUUUCGAAACAAAAUCGGAGCCGUGUUCACAACCUAACCCAUGAAAAUAGUAAACGCCAUACAAAAUUUAUACUGAUCAUUUGGAUUCAAUGUUAUAAUUUGUUGAUCUGAAUCAUAUUAUGAUGUCCACAUUUGGAAGUCUGGAGCCUCUGCAGUUCGCAUAACUUUGCAUAGUUUGCCAAUAGAUCUGUGGAUUGGCGCAUUCAACCUGGGCCUGCACUUCAUCCUCCAGUACCUAGAACACCAUUGUGCCAGAGUUACUGCACUCCAAACUUUCCGAGUUGAUUGUGCCUGAACCCCUCUGUCGGUGGAUCACCAGCUUCCUGACAGACAGGAAGCAGCACCUCGGACCCGCAAACCCUCAGCAUAGGUGCACCACAAGGCUGCAUACUCUCCCCUCUCCUCUACUCUCUCUACACCAAUGACUGCACCUCCACUGACUCCUCUGUCAAGCUUCUCAAGUUUGCGGACAACACAACCCUGAUUGGACUGAUCUAGGAUGGGGAAGAAUCUGCCUACAGACAAGAAAUGACACAGCUGGUGGCCUGGUGCCAUCGCAACAACCUGGAGCUCAAUGCUCUUAAGACAGAAUUGAUAGUAGACUUUAGGAAAGCUCCCCCUCCCCUCACCCCACUCGCCAUCAACAACACCACAGUCACAUCUGUGGAGUCUUUUAAGUUCCUGGGAACCAUCAUCUCCAAGGACCUUAAAUGGGGGGCUACCAUCGACUCCACAGUCAAAAAGGCACAACAGAGGAUGUACUUCCUGCGGCAGCUGAGGAAGCACAAUCUGCACACGCAAUGAUGGUCAAAUUCUAUAGGGCCAUCGUAGAGCCUCACCUUCUCCAUCAUGGUCUGGUUUGGCUCAGCCACCAAGCACGACAUCCGGAGGCUGCAGCGAAUCAUCCGAUCAGCUGAAAAGGUUAUUGGCUGCAACCUUCCCUCCAUUGAUGAACUGUACACUGCAAGGGCCAGUACUCAAUAACCAAAAAUCUGUAGCCUCCUUUCGCUCUGGUAUUUUAUUUAAUUCACAUGUUUAAUCAAUAAUGUUUUAUUAUUAAUAUUUAAUGUUUUAUGUCUCAUUCCUAAAUGUCACUGUAUGUCGUUGUCACGUGGGUGGAGCACCAAGGCAAAUUCCUUGUAUGUGAAUACUUGGCCAAUAAAUGUAUUAAUUAAUUCAUUCAUUCAUUUAUCACAAAACAUAAAUAACAUGGUGCAAAAAAGAGAAAGAACUUUCUCAUUUUGCUAUCAGGAACAUAUCCUUACAAGUUAUAGAAUUAAAUUAUGUAUGAUUCUUAUAUCGUUUAAGUUCAUUUGAGUUAGCAAAAAAAUGUAAUUAUUUUGUCAAGAAGGAACAUGCAUAAAUUUAAUGAGAGUAAUAUCAAAAUAAAUAUUUUAACACAUUUAGAAAAUAUAACAAUUAAGAAAAAAUUGGUACAAGUGCAACUCCCUUUUGCCAGGUAGGUUUCAUUGCUCCCAGGCCAAAGCCAUUGUUGGACAUGGCCCACUAUGUCCCGGUGUUGGAAGGCAAAUUUUGCGUCCAGUACCACUGCUGCUGGAGUCCAUUUCUUCCCUGUUGCUAGGGUUGGAGCGACACCUCUUAUUAUUGGGUCCCGGGAUUCUGUUAGUGUCAUGUCCAGCCUCACUUUGGCACAUUUGUACUCCUCCACCAGGCUUGAGACUGGCAGUGAGAGGGCUCCAUUCCCAUAGAGCCCUAUGCUGCUGAGGCAUCUCAGUAUCCCAAACCACUUCCUCACUUGUGAGUUCACCAGUUUCUCCAGCUGGUUGACAUGGGUUAAAGUGACCUCGUAGAUGGUAAUUGGCCACAUGAGUCGGGGCAGUCGACCGAAUUGAAGGCACCAAAGCUUCAGCUUCCCUGGGAGAGCAGUGUUGUUGAUUUGCUUGAGGCCACUGAUUGUAUCCUGCCUGAGUUGUUCCACCUUCUCUGCAUCCUUGAGGUAUGCGGUGUACCAUUGCCCAAGGCUUUUGACAGGCUUCUCCAGGACAGUUGGUAUUGUCUCGUUAUUGAUGCGGAACCUUUCGUCAGUGAGCCAGCCUUUGACGAUGGAAAUACUGCAGGAUUUGCUGGGUUUAAUCUCCAUUCGUGCCCAUUUGAUGUUUUCCUGGAGUUUAUCCAGCAGGCGUUUGGUGCAUGCUUUUGUUGUUGUUAUUGUGGUCAUGUCAUCCAUCUACGCCCAGAUUGGAGGAAGACGCAGCCCACUCUUCAAGCGUUCCCCUCUGAACACCCAUCGUGAUGCUCGAAUGAUGAGCUCCAUUGCCAUGGUGGAAACCAGAGGAGAAAUGGUACAGCCUGCCAUUAUGCCUACCUCAAGGUGCUGCCAGGCAGUGGUGUUGGCCUGUGUUGUGACGCAGAACUGGAGGUCCUGGAAGUAAGCUUUUACCAGCUUUGUGAUGACCUCUGGGACCUGGAAGAAAUUAAAAGCUGCCCAAAGAGUCUCAUGGGGCACCGAACCAAAGGCAUUGGCAAGAUCUAAGAAAACCACAUGCAGAUCUCUCUUUUCCUUCUUGGCAGUUUGUAUCAGGUGCCAGAUGACGUUUGCAUGUUUCAGACAUCCUGAGAAACCACGUACCCCUGCUUUUUUCACUGACGUGUCAAUGAAGUUGUUGCUCUGCAAAAAUGCUGAGCCACAACACCAAAGAAGAUCUUUCCUUCCACGUUCAGAAGGCUGAUCUGGCGGAAUUGGCUAAUGGUUGAGGAGUUCUUUUCUUUGGGAAUUAAGAUCCCUCCUGCCAUUCGCCAUGCCUUAGGUAUGAUUCCUUUCCCCCAUGCCACUUUCAUUAACUUCCAAAGGUAUUUCAGGGCACUAGGGGUGUUCUUAUAGAGCCUGGAUGGAAUGCCAUUGGGCCCUGGGGCUGAUGCUGUUCUUUCCUGUUUGACUGUGUUCUCCACCUCCUUCCAUGUAGGAUGCCUUAUGUCCAUCUGGUACUCAGGUGGGUCGAUAGGUGGCAUGUCAUCUGGAAUGGUGACUGGCUCAUGCCUCCGGUUGUCAGGGUACGUUUUCCUCAGGUGCUCCUCCAGUUCCCUUACAGGUACUCUCAGGAUCCCACUCUUCUCCUUGACAAAGAGGCUUUUGACAAACUUAUACGGAUCUCUGUAGAAACUUGGCCUUGCCCAUUCUUUCUUCUUGUGUUGCUUUCUCAGGCAUUCUGCUCUUUAUUUCUCUCAGUUUUAUUUCUUCCUGCAGUGCCUCGAGUCCUUUCCUUUCUGCCUCUGUGGUCUUCCUCCACUGUUUUCUCAGCUUUCUUUCACCAGUCUUUUGAUCUCCUGCUGCCUCCUGGACUUGUACUGGAGUGCUGGUUCCUUCUGUGUCCUCUGUUUCAUGACCUUCACCCCAAAUCUCUCCGCCCCAUUGUUGUAUAUGGUGUCUCCCAUCUUUUCCAGUUUUCUUUCCACACAUCCCUUCAAUCUUUCCAGAAGAUGGAUGAGGUCAGUGUUAAUGGUCUCCCACUCUUUCCUCUGGCAGGAUUUAGGCCACAAGAUUUCAGGCUUUUUCCCUUCAAUUUUCUUCUCUACCACUGACUGUGGCUGGUUGGGCUCUGGACUCGUGUCCGUUGGUGGUACUGUACCUGGUUGAGCUUCGCCUGGGGUGCUGAUACCAUGUGGACUGUAGUGGUUAUCCUGCCACUGGGCUUCACACGACUGAUUUGACCUACCUCUUAGAGGGUAAUGGUCAAUGCGAGGCCCCACACCAAGCUCUGUCAAGGCACGUUUUCCUGCCCUGGUGGAUCUUGAGACCCUUCUCUGAUGUUAUAUUUUCCCAGCCACAGAUAUAGCUUCGUAGCUUAUGUCCUGCCAGUGCUGCUGCUCUGUCAAUUGCUGUGCUAGUUGUAAUACUCAUAGUCGAUUCCGUUCCUAGGUCUGUUGCCGUGUGGUCUGUCAAUGAGUCAUCUUGCGCCCCCGCAGACUCGAGGGGUAUUCUUCGUCUUGUCUUUUUCAUAGCAAUAUAUGGCUGAAUCCAAAACGCUCAUUAGCGAUGGAUCCUGCUGGCAUGAAGAACUAGCCCAUGCCAGCCCCGGUGGGGUCUAUUCCCUCCGGUCAGCAGUCUCUCCAGGCCAUCACUAGGUCUUUCCCUGGUUGUCAGCUGCCCUUUCGCAGCGGUCACUGGUUUGAUCCAGAUGUUCAGAUUGAUUAGUAGGACUAGGUGUUACAAUCCCUAAGAUUUCAUUACAAUUGUCAUUCUUGGGUAUGACCACUAGGUGAAUUUGCUAACAAUCAGACACAUCUUCAGUUGUGUACCUCAACGUCACUGGGUGUUUCUUUGCUGGAUUAUUAACCAUUCCGAAAUUAGACUUAAUUAACAAUUAAUAACAGCGCAAAGUAAAGCGGUCUCGCCUGGAAAUUUACAAUGGUAAACAUCCUGCAGAAACAAUCCACGUUUUUUGUUUGAUUACAUUAACUGAAUUAUUAUUAUUUUUUAAUUUCUAUUAAUAUACAAUCGAUCCCUUGGUCCUAUCACACCAAUGACGAACCAUAUAGGUAAUAAUGAUUGUAAGUGUCAUUAAGCAAAGUGGAGUGAAAGUACAGGGAAUAUAGAAAGCAGAUUCUGCCUGGAAUUAUAACACAAUGGAGAUCAGAAGCGAUUUAGGGAUUGGAGAGUAGACUAUGGUUAGGACAAGGUGGGAAGAAGUACAGUACAAUGUACAGUGAAAUAUAAAUUUAUGAGGGAAUGUUUGGGAUUGAAUUCAUCAAGCAUACCAUUUCUGAUUUUAUUCCGGCUCUUUGACUCCUAAAGCCUCCAACCUUAUCGUUCCCCAUCCCCGCACGGCCCGGUCUUAUCUUCUCCCCAAAAUCCACAAAUAAAACUGUCCUGGCAGACCCAUUGUUUCUGCUUGUUCAUAUCCUAUCAAAUUAAUCUCCACAUUCCUCAACUACAUCCUAUCUCCCCUGAUCCAAUCCCUCCCUACCUUUAUCCAAGACACCUCACACGCUCUUCGUCGCUUCAAUGACUUCCGUUUUCCAGGCCUCCACUUCCUCACCUUUACCAUGGAUGCCCAGUCCCUCUACACGUCCAUCCCCCUCCCUCCCCCCACCAACAGGAAAGUCUUAAAGCCCUCUGUUUCUUCCUCAACCGCAGAACCAGCCAAUUUCCAUCCACUAAUAUUCCUCCGCCUAACAGAGCUGGUCCUUACCCUCAACGACUUCUGCUUUGACUCCUCCCAAUUCUUCCAAAUCCAAGGGGUAGCUACGGGCACUCGCAUGGGCCCCAGCUAUGCCUGCCUCUUUGUAGGGUACGUCGAACAAUCACUGUUCUAGGCGUACACUGGCCUUAUCCCUGAACACUACCUCCGCUACAUUGACAUCCCAUGCAAAACUCAUUGACUUCAUCAACUUUUUUUUAAUGUUUAUUUUAUUAGAAGCAAUUGUACAAGAAUAAAGUAAUCGGCAUAACAAUGAUACAACUUUCGUACAGCUUCAUUUUUAACAUUUUAUAAAUUGAUACAUGAAUCGGGAAAGGUAGU
Molecule: long non-coding RNA, 5966 nt
Organism: Leucoraja erinaceus (little skate)
Lineage: Eukaryota; Metazoa; Chordata; Chondrichthyes; Rajiformes; Rajidae
Exons: 3
Source: RefSeq, a predicted model, not a curated record